This 180-nucleotide unclassified non-coding RNA is filed under the name uncultured Atheliaceae. Its description in RNAcentral is "sequence contains ITS1". The record is from RNAcentral. Lineage: Eukaryota; Fungi; Basidiomycota; Agaricomycetes; Atheliales; Atheliaceae.
UCGAAUUAUCAGGGCGAGGGUUGUAGCUGGCCGGUCAAACGGUAUGUGCACGCCCGAGCUCGUUAAUCCAUUACACACCUGUGAACCUAAUGUGGGCCCUUUUGGGCCCAUGUCUUAUCAUCAACUCUGAAACGUCUAUAGAAUGUAAAUCAAUUCAUUGCCCUAAAAACGCAGUAAAUA